GAUGAACGCUGGCGGCGUGCUUAACACAUGCAAGUCGAACGAUGAAGCCCAGCUUGCUGGGUGGAUUAGUGGCGAACGGGUGAGUAACACGUGAGUAACCUGCCCUUAACCCUGGGAUAAGCCUGGGAAACUGGGUCUAAUACCGGAUAGGAGCGCCCACCGCAGGUGGGGGGUUGGAAAGAUUUGUCGGUUUUGGAGGGACUCGCGGCCUAUCCCCUUGUUGGUGAGGUAAUGGCUCACCAAGGCGCCGACGGGUAGCCGGCCCGCGAGGGUGACCGGCAACAGUGGGAUGGGGAUACGGUCGAGAGUCCGACAGGGGGCAGGAGUGGAGAACGUUGAACAAAGCGCGGAAGCCAGACGGACGCACUCCGCGUGCGGGAUGCCGGCGAUCAGGGUGUAAACGGCAUUCGAUAGUGAAGAAGUGUGGGGGUCGGUAACGGGUAAAGAAGAACCGGCUAACUAUGGG
RNAcentral lists this ribosomal RNA (466 nucleotides) under uncultured bacterium. RNAcentral's name for it is "partial 16S ribosomal RNA". It matches the Rfam family "Bacterial small subunit ribosomal RNA", at positions 28 to 507 of the family's 1533-position model. The record is from RNAcentral.